UUGAGUCAGCCAGGCUGCUCCCGCUGCUGCUGGAGAGAGGAUUCCUAUCUGCUGCUGGGAUAUCCACACCCACGGAGACGCUCACUUUGACAUUUCGACGGGGUCUUCCCGAACCGCAGACUGCUUCAUUUUUCCAGAAAAGGAGGGCAAGAAAGAGGACAGGUGUGUAAAAAGAGAGACUCUGCGACAGGAGCGGACUCCUUGAGCUGAUAGAGGGAGCUGAGUUGAAUAAGGUGCUUUCCCCACCACUACUGGAGCCUUAUUAUGGAAAGCAGAUGUGGAGAAGCUGUG
This is a long non-coding RNA of Colossoma macropomum (tambaqui), 291 nucleotides long. RefSeq lists it as uncharacterized. The transcript is spliced from 3 exons. Lineage: Eukaryota; Metazoa; Chordata; Actinopteri; Characiformes; Serrasalmidae. The record is from RefSeq and is a predicted model, not a curated record.